GGGUUGUGAGGUUAAGCGACUAAGCGUACACGGUGGAUGCCCUGGCAGUCAGAGGCGAUGAAGGGCGUGCUAAUCUGCGAUAAGCGCCGGUAAGGUGAUAUGAACCGUUAUAACCGGCGAUACCCGAAUGGGGAAACCCAGUGUGAUUCGUCACACUAUCAUUAACUGAAUCCAUAGGUUAAUGAGGCGAACCGGGGGAACUGAAACAUCUAAGUACCCCGAGGAAAAGAAAUCAACCGAGAUUCCCCCAGUAGCGGCGAGCGAACGGGGAGGAGCCCAGAGCCUGAAUCAGCAUAUGUGUUAGUGGAAGCGUCUGGAAAGGCGCGCGAUACAGGGUGACAGCCCCGUACACAAAAGCGCAUGUGCUGUGAGCUCGAUGAGUAGGGCGGGACACGUGGUAUCCUGUCUGAAUAUGGGGGGGACCAUCCUCCAAGGCUAAAUACUCCUGACUGACCGAUAGUGAACCAGUACCGUGAGGGAAAGGCGAAAAGAACCCCGGCGAGGGGAGUGAAAAAGAACCUGAAACCGUGUACGUACAAGCAGUGGGAGCACCCUUUGGGG
This 561-nucleotide ribosomal RNA is filed under the name Salmonella enterica subsp. enterica serovar 6,7:b:-. RNAcentral describes it as "partial 23S ribosomal RNA". It matches the Rfam family "Bacterial large subunit ribosomal RNA", at positions 1 to 591 of the family's 2925-position model. Lineage: Bacteria; Pseudomonadati; Pseudomonadota; Gammaproteobacteria; Enterobacterales; Enterobacteriaceae. The record is from RNAcentral.